CGGGGCGUAGCGCAGCCCGGUAGCGCACCUGCUUUGGGAGCAGGGGGUCCCAGGUUCGAAUCCUGGUGCCCCGACAA
Molecule: transfer RNA, 77 nt
Filed under: Haliscomenobacter hydrossis DSM 1100
Lineage: Bacteria; Pseudomonadati; Bacteroidota; Saprospiria; Saprospirales; Haliscomenobacteraceae
Description: tRNA-Pro
Rfam family: tRNA
About the family: Transfer RNA (tRNA) molecules are approximately 80 nucleotides in length. Their secondary structure includes four short double-helical elements and three loops (D, anti-codon, and T loops).
Source: RNAcentral